RNAcentral lists this ribosomal RNA (435 nucleotides) under uncultured Oscillospiraceae bacterium. Its description in RNAcentral is "partial 16S ribosomal RNA". It matches the Rfam family "Bacterial small subunit ribosomal RNA", at positions 341 to 792 of the family's 1533-position model. The record is from RNAcentral. Lineage: Bacteria; Bacillati; Bacillota; Clostridia; Eubacteriales; Oscillospiraceae.
ACGGGAGGCGGCAGUGGGGAAUAUUGCACAAUGGGCGAAAGCCUGAUGCAGCAACGCCGCGUGAGGGAAGACGGUUUUCGGAUUGUAAACCUCUGUCUUUGGUGAAGAAUAAUGACAUUAGCCGAGGAGGAAGCCACGGCUAACUACGUGCCAGCAGCCGCGGUAAUACGUAGGUGGCAAGCGUUAUCCGGAAUUACUGGGUGUAAAGGGAGCGCAGGCGGGAAAGCAAGUCAGCGGUGAAAUGUAUGGGCUCAACCCAUGAACUGCCGUUGAAACUGUUUGUCUUGAGUGGAGUAGAGGCAAGCGGGAUUCCUGGUGUAGCGGUGAAAUGCGUAGAUAUCAGGAGGAACACCGGUGGCGAAGGCGGCUUGCUGGGCUUUUACUGACGCUGAGGCUCGAAAGCGUGGGUAGCAAACAGGAUUAGAUACCCUGGUA